ACGAAGGGUGCAAGCGUUACUCGGAAUUACUGGGCGUAAAGCGUGCGUAGGUGGUUUGUUAAGUCUGAUGUGAAAGCCCUGGGCUCAACCUGGGAACGGCAUUGGAUACUGGCUUACUAGAGUGCGGUAGAGGGUAGUGGAAUUCCCAGUGUAGCGGUGAAAUGCGUAGAGAUUGGGAAGAACACCGGUGGCGAAAGCGCUCUGCUGGACCACAACUGACACUCACAGGACGAAAGCUAGGGGAGCGAAAGGGA
This 254-nucleotide ribosomal RNA is filed under the name uncultured prokaryote. RNAcentral's name for it is "partial 16S ribosomal RNA". It matches the Rfam family "Bacterial small subunit ribosomal RNA", at positions 525 to 777 of the family's 1533-position model. The record is from RNAcentral.